AUUGAACGCUGGCGGCAUGCCUUACACAUGCAAGUCGAACGGUAACGGGCCUUCGGGUGCCGACGAGUGGCGAACGGGUGAGUAAUGCAUCGGAACGUACCUUUCAGUGGGGGAUAACGUAGCGAAAGUUACGCUAAUACCGCAUAUUCUGUGAGCAGGAAAGCAGGGGAUCGCAAGACCUUGCGCUGAUUGAGCGGCCGAUGUCAGAUUAGCUAGUUGGUGAGGUAAAGGCUCACCAAGGCGACGAUCUGUAGCGGGUCUGAGAGGAUGAUCCGCCACACUGGAACUGAGACACGGUCCAGACUCCUACGGGAGGCAGCAGUGGGGAAUUUUGGACAAUGGGGGCAACCCUGAUCCAGCCAUGCCGCGUGAGUGAAGAAGGCCUUCGGGUUGUAAAGCUCUUUCGGCCGGGAACGAAAUCGUAUGGGUUAAUACCCUGUGCGGAUGACGGUACCGGCAUAAGAAGCACCGGCUAACUACGUGCCAGCAGCCGAC
RNAcentral lists this ribosomal RNA (495 nucleotides) under uncultured bacterium. RNAcentral describes it as "bacterial SSU rRNA". It matches the Rfam family "Bacterial small subunit ribosomal RNA", at positions 30 to 518 of the family's 1533-position model. The record is from RNAcentral.